RNAcentral lists this ribosomal RNA (134 nucleotides) under Giardia duodenalis. RNAcentral describes it as "Giardia intestinalis partial small subunit ribosomal RNA". The record is from RNAcentral. Lineage: Eukaryota; Fornicata; Diplomonadida; Hexamitidae.
CCGGGACGCGGCGGACGGCUCAGGACAACGGUUGCACCCCCCGCGGCGGUCCCUGCUAGCCGGACACCGCUGGCAACCCGGCGCCAAGACGUGCGCGCAAGGGCGGGCGCCCGCGGGCGAGCAGCGUGACGCAG